This 872-nucleotide small RNA is filed under the name uncultured Rhodotorula. RNAcentral describes it as "eukaryotic LSU rRNA". The stretch from base 589 to 872 matches the Rfam family "Eukaryotic large subunit ribosomal RNA", at positions 1 to 281 of the family's 3401-position model. Lineage: Eukaryota; Fungi; Basidiomycota. The record is from RNAcentral.
CUUGGUCAUUUAGAGGAAGUAAAAGUCGUAACAAGGUUUCCGUAGGUGAACCUGCGGAAGGAUCAUUAGUGAAUCUAGGACGUCCAACUUAACUUGGAGUCCGAACUCUCACUUUCUAACCCUGUGCAUCUGUUAAUUGGAAUAGUAGCUCUUCGGAGUGAACCACCAUUCACUUAUAAAACACAAAGUCUAUGAAUGUAUACAAAUUUAUAACAAAACAAAACUUUCAACAACGGAUCUCUUGGCUCUCGCAUCGAUGAAGAACGCAGCGAAAUGCGAUACGUAAUGUGAAUUGCAGAAUUCAGUGAAUCAUCGAAUCUUUGAACGCACCUUGCGCUCCUUGGUAUUCCGAGGAGCAUGCCUGUUUGAGUGUCAUGAAAUCUUCAACCCACCUCUUUCUUAGUGAAUCUGGUGGUGCUUGGUUUCUGAGCGCUGCUCUGCUUCGGCUUAGCUCGUUCGUAAUGCAUUAGCAUCCGCAACCGAACUUCGGAUUGACUUGGCGUAAUAGACUAUUCGCUGAGGAUUCUAGUUUACUAGAGCCGAGUUGGGUUAAAGGAAGCUCCUAAUCCUAAAGUCUAUUUUUUGAUUAGAUCUCAAAUCAGGUAGGACUACCCGCUGAACUUAAGCAUAUCAAUAAGCGGAGGAAAAGAAACUAACAAGGAUUCCCCUAGUAGCGGCGAGCGAAGCGGGAAGAGCUCAAAUUUAUAAUCUGGCACCUUCGGUGUCCGAGUUGUAAUCUCUAGAAGUGUUUUCCGCGUUGGACCGCACACAAGUCUGUUGGAAUACAGCGGCAUAGUGGUGAAACCCCCGUAUAUGGUGCGGACGCCCAGCGCUUUGUGAUACACUUUCAAUGAGUCGAGUUGUUUGGGAAU